GACGAACGCUGGCGGCGUGCUUAACACAUGCAAGUCGAACGGAAAGGCCCUGCUUUUGUGGGGUGCUCGAGUGGCGAACGGGUGAGUAACACGUGAGUAACCUGCCCUUGACUUUGGGAUAACUUCAGGAAACUGGGGCUAAUACCGGAUAGGAGCUCCUGCUGCAUGGUGUGGGUUGGAAAGUUUCGGCGGUUGGGGAUGGACUCGCAGCUUAUCAGCUUGUUGGUGGGGUAGUGGCUUACCAAGGCUUUGACGGGUAGCCGGCCUGAGAGGGUGACCGGCCACAUUGGGACUGAGAUACGGCCCAGACUCCUACGGGAGGCAGCAGUGGGGAAUAUUGCACAAUGGGCGGAAGCCUGAUGCAGCAACGCCGCGUGCGGGAUGACGGCCUUCGGGUUGUAAACCGCUUUCGCCUGUGACGAAGCGUGAGUGACGGUAAUGGGUAAAGAAGCACCGGCUAACUACGUG
RNAcentral lists this ribosomal RNA (468 nucleotides) under uncultured bacterium. RNAcentral describes it as "partial 16S ribosomal RNA". It matches the Rfam family "Bacterial small subunit ribosomal RNA", at positions 28 to 507 of the family's 1533-position model. The record is from RNAcentral.